GGAGAGAGGGAGAGGGAGGCAGGCAAGCUGGAAGACUGUUAUAUGUUCAAAAAUGGAAAGAUACAGCAGUACUACCUACAACAGAGGACUGGCUGGAGAAGAUGAUGGAGUGGAGCUUGGAGAUACUCUGAAAUUACAACUGAUCUCCAGACAACAGAGGUCAGUUCUCCUGGAGAAAAUGGCUGCUUUGGAAGUUGGACUCUAUGCCAUCAUGCCCUACUGAGGUGUCUACCGUCCCGAAACUCUGCCUUCCUCAGGCUCCACCCCCAAAUCUCCAGGAAUCUCCCAAACCAGAGUUGGCAGCCCUACUGCCCCUACUUUCUGUUCUUGAGAAAACAUUAGCUUUCCCUUUCCUGCUCCUUUCACUUUUGCAUCCUGGACAGGCAAACAUGGCUCAUUAAUCGCCCUACUGGAAAUGACAGACCCCCCUGAAAGCUCUUAAGGGUGAUGCCAAAAAAUAUUUCCAGAAAUGAUGUCAGAGUGUUCUGGGAAAACACCACCCUCACAGAGAUGACCCAAUCAGAAAGAGUAAUGGGUUCCUAGUUCCUUCAGUGAGUCACGCUCUUGCUGAGAACACAUCUGAUAAGGUCAGUUCAGCUGCAGGCUUGUGCUGGGUUCACUCUACAGAAGAAAAGGAUGCCACUGCUGGACAAAGUGGCCAGAGAAGCAUAAAUAAGGUUUAGUCGUUACUUGGCUUGCAACUCCAAAAAUUCUCAGACUUGUAAUAGGGUGGGGGAAAUAUCUGGAAUCUUUUUUUUUUCUCGGAACACUAACUGGUGAGAAAGAUAACACUUUUCCUUCUAUAACACUUUUACUUCCAAAGAUUGAUUCAAAAGACGACUUUAAAAAGAUGACUUGUCAUUCAGGAAUGUGGAAUCCCCCAUGAUGACAGCUUUAAAAUAAAUCCCUAUAAUUCUCAGUCCCGUAAUAUGGAAUCUCUGUAAGCAUUCGUUUCUCUUUUCAGUCUGAGUAGGCUGGAAAACACCCAGAUACAUACUUAGGGAGGGAGAAAGAAACCAGGUAUUGUGAAAGACUACCACCUGGGCUCUUGGAGAGAUGCUGUCCAUCGGAGAAGGCAACGCUGACCUUGAUAGACCAACUCAGUAUAAGGCAGAUUCAUGU
Long non-coding RNA from Eublepharis macularius, 1122 nucleotides. RefSeq lists it as uncharacterized. NCBI's taxonomy places the organism in Eukaryota, Metazoa, Chordata, Lepidosauria, Squamata, Eublepharidae. The record is from RefSeq and is a predicted model, not a curated record. The transcript has 3 exons.